CUCCUCUCAGGGUCGCACCUGGAGGGUUUCCAGUAUUCUACGAGUCUCGGUUACAGGAUGGAGAGUCAAGCAGAGGCAUACCGAUUCCAUUCCUAGUUUGGCCAGUGGCAAGCGAGUGGAAGGCGAUCUGCUACAAAU
Molecule: small nucleolar RNA, 138 nt
Organism: Tachyglossus aculeatus (Australian echidna)
Lineage: Eukaryota; Metazoa; Chordata; Mammalia; Monotremata; Tachyglossidae
Source: RefSeq, a predicted model, not a curated record